UAGCAACGGAGCCAGUUUGUUGUUUGAAGUGAAAAAAAAUUUAGGUAAAGUAAUUAAAACCGAUUAAAUUCGGAUUCAUACAAUCCCAAUAGAUCUUAUGUUGACUGAGAAAUCUUGGGGCCAAUAAUAUAUUAUGAUUUUAAUCCACAAUAGGCCCAUUCAUAAAUGUGAAUUAAUGGGCCUCAUGAAAGCCCUGUAAGAUUUUAGGCCUAUACAAAAAUUUGGGCAUCAUUUCAGCCCAAUGAAUAUUCGUGCCCAACAAGUUUCAUCAAAGUAUGGCCAAUUUCAGCCCUAUUCAUGAAAUAACGGCCCACAUUUUUACCCACAUUUAAAAAUUCAAUCUUGAAUACCAUAUUCAAAUUCGAUUCGAAAUUCGAUUUCGAAUUUCGAACCAACACCCAAAAUAUCUCUCAUUCGAAUUUUGAAUACCUAACAAUCCAACAACCCAUUCAAAAUUCAAUUUCGAAUUUCGAAUUUCCAACCAAUUUCCAAAAUAUCCUCCAACAACCAAUUCAAAAUUCGAUUUCGAAUUUCGAAUCCCUAACCAAUUCCCAAAAAUCCUCCAACCAUCCAACAACUGAUUUAAAAUUCGAUUUCGAAUUUCGAAUUCCCAACCAAUUCCAACCAUCCA
RNAcentral lists this long non-coding RNA (631 nucleotides) under Ananas comosus (pineapple). RNAcentral's name for it is "long non-coding RNA (ACOM_LNC041089)". Lineage: Eukaryota; Viridiplantae; Streptophyta; Magnoliopsida; Poales; Bromeliaceae. The record is from RNAcentral.